Molecule: long non-coding RNA, 343 nt
Filed under: Oryza brachyantha (malo sina)
Lineage: Eukaryota; Viridiplantae; Streptophyta; Magnoliopsida; Poales; Poaceae
Description: long non-coding RNA (OBRA_LNC001098)
Source: RNAcentral
UGCUUAAAUUUCUAGCUAGGAUGAGAGCUUGGUUGAUGGAAUUUUCCCAACCUGAGGCAAACAUCAUGAUAUAUGCAUAGCUAGUGGCAUGUAUCUACGAUUGAAUAGAACCACCACUGGGUGUGUAUUUGGAAUGGAAGACAUUGGGAUUUGAUGUACAAGAUAUAAGAUUGCAACUCUAGAUGGCAUGAUGCUCCUCUUUCGUGAGCCAUAGCAGUUGCAUGCUUGGGAGGCCCAUCUCUGAUUCAAUGGGGAAUAUUUCCAAUGCCAAUGGUUAAAUGUAAACAAGUUUUGGAAUUUUGAUUAUUCUGUAUACGAGUGUCAGUGGCUCUGUGGCAUAUUG